Cygnus olor (mute swan) is the source of this 709-nucleotide long non-coding RNA. RefSeq lists it as uncharacterized. The transcript has 4 exons. Lineage: Eukaryota; Metazoa; Chordata; Aves; Anseriformes; Anatidae. The record is from RefSeq and is a predicted model, not a curated record.
GCGCCGGGCAACGGCGGCAGCAACCGUCCCGACGGCCGCCCUCUCUGUGAGGGGAGCCCGGCGGCGGGCGGGUGUCAGCCGCUGGCGGCGCCCCGAGCUCCCCCUCUGGCCUCUUCUCCUCCCGUCAGGGAGCGGUGCCCGCACCGAGCCCCCGCUGCGAGGGGAGCCGCCAGGGCGGCUGCUGCAGCCCCUCCGGGGCGGGGAGCCGUGCUGCUGUGGCGGCGCAGCCGCUGUGGGUCUUGGUUGCCCCGUGUGAGAGCAGGUGGCGGUGGUAACAAAAGUGCCGCCUGGCAGAUUGUCUCUGCUAACCUGCUUUGUGCCGGGCUGAAAAUGGCUACCAUUCUUUGCCAGUGUCUACAGAGUUGUUCUGAAAGAUAUGAAGUUGCCCUCCAGAGAAAACAGAACCAUACACCACUGUGCCAACCCGUACAGGUUUUGGAUAAUCCUGUCAGCAAGGGAAGAACAGGAGUAGCUGUGACCCAGAAAUAAACACAUAGAUGCUCACAGAAACAGUGACCCGGUGGAUGAGUAAGAGUGAAUACUUAAAAGAUAUCAAUGACAGCAAACGUAAAGGCAGUUCUUUAUCCAGAUAUUCAUCUCUGAACAUCAGUGUUGUGGAGGCGCUUUUUGGUUCAUGCCUGCUUAAGGCAUACUGCAUCCACUGGUGCCCUUGAUAUUUCGAAAGCUGGUUCUCCAAAUAAAGUUUGCA